RNAcentral lists this small nucleolar RNA (121 nucleotides) under Otolemur garnettii (small-eared galago). RNAcentral describes it as "Small nucleolar RNA SNORA31 (ENSOGAG00000023579.1)". Lineage: Eukaryota; Metazoa; Chordata; Mammalia; Primates; Galagidae. The record is from RNAcentral.
CCUUUUUGACAGACCUGGAGUAGUUAUUGUCUGUUCUAAGUAUUCACUACAAAUGCAAGAAAAAUGCCCUCAUGCUUUCUAUCUGACUGUGGCAGCCAAGACUGAACAGAGGAAUACAGGG